Molecule: transfer RNA, 23 nt
Filed under: Grandidierina rubrocaudata
Lineage: Eukaryota; Metazoa; Chordata; Lepidosauria; Squamata; Scincidae
Description: partial tRNA-Met
Source: RNAcentral
UAGUAAGGUCAGCUAAUUAAGCU